This 478-nucleotide ribosomal RNA is filed under the name uncultured bacterium. RNAcentral describes it as "partial 16S ribosomal RNA". It matches the Rfam family "Bacterial small subunit ribosomal RNA", at positions 28 to 523 of the family's 1533-position model. The record is from RNAcentral.
GACGAACGCUGGCGGCGUGCUUAACACAUGCAAGUCGAACGGUAAGGCCCUUCGGGGUACACGAGUGGCGAACGGGUGAGUAACACGUGGGUGAUCUGCCCUGCACUUCGGGAUAAGCCUGGGAAACUGGGUCUAAUACCGGAUAGGACCACUGCCUGCAUGGGUGGUGGUGGAAAGCUUUUACGGUGUGGGAUGGGCCCGCGGCCUAUCAGCUUGUUGGUGGGGUGAUGGCCUACCAAGGCGACGACGGGCAGCCGGCCUGAGAGGGUGACCGGCCACACUGGGACUGAGAUACGGCCCAGACUCCUACGGGAGGCAGCAGUGGGGAAUAUUGCACAAUGGGCGCAAGCCUGAUGCAGCGACGCCGCGUGAGGGAUGACGGCCUUCGGGUUGUAAACCUCUUUCAGCACCGACGAAGCGCAAGUGACGGUAGGUGCAGAAGAAGGACCGGCCAACUACGUGCCAGCCGCCGCAGUAA